GGAGCCGGAGGGAAACCGAGUCUUAAUUGGGCGUUAAGUUGCAGGGUAUAGACCCGAAACCCGGUGAUCUAGCCAUGGGCAGGUUGAAGGUUGGGUAACACUAACUGGAGGACCGAACCGACUAAUGUUGAAAAAUUAGCGGAUGACCUGUGGCUGGGGGUGAAAGGCCAAUCAAACCGGGAGAUAGCUGGUUCUCCCCGAAAGCUAUUUAGGUAGCGCCUCGUGAAUUCAUCUCCGGGGGUAGAGCACUGUUUCGGCUAGGGGGCCAUCCCGGCUUACCAACCCGAUGCAAACUGCGAAUACCGGAGAAUGUUAUCACGGGAGACACACGGCGGGUGCUAACGUCCGUCGUGAAGAGGGAAACAACCCAGACCGCCAGCUAAGGUCCCAAAGUCAUGGUUAAGUGGGAAACGAUGUGGGAAGGCCCAGACAGCCAGGAUGUUGGCUUAGAAGCAGCCAUCAUUUAAAGAAAGCGUAAUAGCUCACUGGUCGAGUCGGCCUGCGCGGAAGAUGUAACGGGGCUAAACCAUGCACCGAAGCUGCGGCAGCGACGCUGAUGCGUUGUUGGGUAGGGGAGCGUUCUGUAAGCCUGCGAAGGUGGCCUGUGAGGGUUGCUGGAGGUAUCAGAAGUGCGAAUGCUGACAUAAGUAACGAUAAAGCGGGUGAAAAGCCCGCUCGCCGGAAGACCAAGGGUUCCUGUCCAACGUUAAUCGGGGCAGGGUGAGUCGACCCCUAAGGCGAGGCCGAAAGGCGUAGUCGAUGGGAAACGGGUUAAUAUUCCCGUACUUGGUGUUACUGCGAAGGGGGGACGGAGAAGGCUAUGUUGGCCGGGCGACGGUUGUCCCGGUUUAAGCGUGUAGGUGUGUGUUCCAGGUAAAUCCGGUUCACUUUAACACUGAGGCGUGAUGACGAGGCACUACGGUGCUGAAGCAACAAAUGCCCUGCUUCCAGGAAAAGCCUCUAAGCAUCAGGUAACAUCAAAUCGUACCCCAAACCGACACAGGUGGUCAGGUAGAGAAUACCAAGGCGCUUGAGAGAACUCGGGUGAAGGAACUAGGCAAAAUGGUGCCGUAACUUCGGGAGAAGGCACGCUGACACGUAGGUGAAGUGAUUUACUCAUGGAGCUGAAGUCAGUCGAAGAUACCAGCUGGCUGCAACUGUUUAUUAAAAACACAGCACUGUGCAAACACGAAAGUGGACGUAUACGGUGUGACGCCUGCCCGGUGCCGGAAGGUUAAUUGAUGGGGUCAGCGCAAGCGAAGCUCCUGAUCGAAGCCCCGGUAAACGGCGGCCGUAACUAUAACGGUCCUAAGGUAGCGAAAUUCCUUGUCGGGUAAGUUCCGACCUGCACGAAUGGCGUAAUGAUGGCCAGGCUGUCUCCACCCGAGACUCAGUGAAAUUGAACUCGCUGUGAAGAUGCAGUGUACCCGCGGCAAGACGGAAAGACCCCGUGAACCUUUACUAUAGCUUGACACUGAACAUUGAGCCUUGAUGUGUAGGAUAGGUGGGAGGCUUUGAAGUGUGGACGCCAGUCUGCAUGGAGCCGGCCUUGAAAUACCACCCUUUAAUGUUUGAUGUUCUAACGUGGACCCGUGAUCCGGGUUGCGGACAGUGUCUGGUGGGUAGUUUGACUGGGGCGGUCUCCUCCUAAAGAGUAACGGAGGAGCACGAAGGUUGGCUAAUCCUGGUCGGACAUCAGGAGGUUAGUGCAAUGGCAUAAGCCAGCUUGACUGCGAGCGUGACGGCGCGAGCAGGUGCGAAAGCAGGUCAUAGUGAUCCGGUGGUUCUGAAUGGAAGGGCCAUCGCUCAACGGAUAAAAGGUACUCCGGGGAUAACAGGCUGAUACCGCCCAAGAGUUCAUAUCGACGGCGGUGUUUGGCACCUCGAUGUCGGCUCAUCACAUCCUGGGGCUGAAGUAGGUCCCAAGGGUAUGGCUGUUCGCCAUUUAAAGUGGUACGCGAGCUGGGUUUAGAACGUCGUGAGACAGUUCGGUCCCUAUCUGCCGUGGGCGCUGGAGAACUGAGGGGGGCUGCUCCUAGUACGAGAGGACCGGAGUGGACGCAUCACUGGUGUUCGGGUUGUCAUGCCAAUGGCACUGCCCGGUAGCUAAAUGCGGAAGAGAUAAGUGCUGAAAGCAUCUAAGCACGAAACUUGCCCCGAGAUGAGUUCUCCCUGAGACUUAGAGUCUCCUGAAGGAACGUUGAAGACGACGACGUUGAUAGGCCGGGUGUGUAAGCGCAGCGAUGCGUUGAGCUAACCGGUACUAAUGAACCGUGAGGCUUAACCUUACA
This 2291-nucleotide ribosomal RNA is filed under the name Salmonella enterica subsp. enterica. RNAcentral's name for it is "partial 23S ribosomal RNA". It matches the Rfam family "Bacterial large subunit ribosomal RNA", at positions 662 to 2925 of the family's 2925-position model. The record is from RNAcentral. Lineage: Bacteria; Pseudomonadati; Pseudomonadota; Gammaproteobacteria; Enterobacterales; Enterobacteriaceae.